UGGUUUUAUUCAAGGAAAUAAUUGUAGAUCGAGAAUUAGAGAAUUUAAAGUUAAAUGUCAAGAAAAUGGACUUACACCGAUUUUGAUGCCUGAGGAAAUUGAUACUAGAUGGAAUUCUAUGUAUGAAUUUUUAAAAACUUGUUAUAAAUAUAGAAUUCCUAUUACACUAGCUUUUAACCAACAUUGCGGUUCAUUUGCUGAUUCUGCUGAUUGCAUG
Molecule: long non-coding RNA, 217 nt
Filed under: Capsicum annuum
Lineage: Eukaryota; Viridiplantae; Streptophyta; Magnoliopsida; Solanales; Solanaceae
Description: long non-coding RNA (CANN_LNC015199)
Source: RNAcentral